RNAcentral lists this ribosomal RNA (108 nucleotides) under Escherichia coli. RNAcentral's name for it is "partial 16S ribosomal RNA". It matches the Rfam family "Bacterial small subunit ribosomal RNA", at positions 1436 to 1533 of the family's 1533-position model. RNAcentral also lists the same sequence under 3 other names. Lineage: Bacteria; Pseudomonadati; Pseudomonadota; Gammaproteobacteria; Enterobacterales; Enterobacteriaceae. The record is from RNAcentral.
UAACCUUCGGGAGGGCGCUUACCACUUUGUGAUUCAUGACUGGGGUGAAGUCGUAACAAGGUAACCGUAGGGGAACCUGCGGUUGGAUCACCUCCUUACCUUAAAGAA